This 1062-nucleotide long non-coding RNA is filed under the name Mustela putorius furo (domestic ferret). Its description in RNAcentral is "lncRNA (ENSMPUG00000029202.1)". The record is from RNAcentral. Lineage: Eukaryota; Metazoa; Chordata; Mammalia; Carnivora; Mustelidae.
CUGGCUUAUUCUUGGGCUCACUGUCCCCUGAGGGAUGGGUUUCUAAGAGGAGCUACCCAGACCUGGCAGAAGAUGCAACAAUCCUCAUUCACAAAGGGCCUGGGGUUUGUGUGAUAAGUCCCCAAAGGCAGCUCUACUAAGUGCAGUGCUGCCCAGGAGAGGCCCACGUAAGGGAAGCAGGGCCUGGAAAGAAAUAUGUCCAGCCCGAGGAUUCAGCGUGCUAGCAACCACAGGCGAGUUCCCGUGGAAUUGCGACACCUGCUUGAAACCCAGGGACCUCAAUUCCCGUUAGAGAAGGGAGACACAGAUCUGGGAAACAAAUAGCCUCCUCUGGAAACCCAUGUGCUUCCCCAAGCUGCUCACACCUUCUCCCCUGAUAGCUCGAUGCUGUGCAGGAGAUGUGACUGCCUGUCCCCCGCCGUUCCCGGAUAGCUCUGCAUGUGCCUCCUUCCCACGCUUCACGGGGCCCAGCACUGGAAGUCUCCAUGCAGAAAACUCAGCAGUUUCCCACGAGACACUCUGCACCUGGGUGAGGGUCUGCACAGAUUUGAAGGGUGUGAAGAACUGUGUACCUGCCAUCCUGCUUAGGAGAGAGAAUACGACGCUGUGUGGCCGCCCCACCUCCACUCCCCUGACCCCACGUCCAGUGUCCGCUUUCCUGAAUCGUGCGUCUCUCAUGGGGCUGACUUUUCUGAACGUCACCUCGGACAGAUAGAGAUCUUGUUCAGUUUGGGCUGGUUUUGAUUUCUAGAAAUGGAUUCCCGCUCUCGGUACUCUACCACGACUUCUCCUUCUUCAACAAUGUAAUACAUUUUGUAUCCUAGAGGUUCUAUGCUUACUUUACUGUGGCAUUAGAUAGAAAUAUACAUAACUAGCACAUGAGCUCAUGAUUUCAUGGACAUUUUUGCUAAAUUAAAUCUUUGCAUUAAAAAUGAGCUGAGUUAGAUUGAAAAAAUAUCAAGUAAAUAUUAGUACAGGUGGCAAAUGGUUAUGGCAGAAAAAAAAAAUACUGAUCCCACUGGAAUGUGAAUAAAGUUCAGGAAACAUGGUUUUAAGUAAAGA